This is a non-coding RNA of Lactuca sativa (garden lettuce), 891 nucleotides long. Lineage: Eukaryota; Viridiplantae; Streptophyta; Magnoliopsida; Asterales; Asteraceae. The record is from RefSeq and is a predicted model, not a curated record.
GAUCAGGAAGCUAUUAUGGAAAAAAUAUAUAUUUAUAUUUACAUUAGGCCACCAAAGUCGACUAUCUUCAUAAUGUGGUGUACAUCGAUUUAGUAUGUGUAUCAUUGUUUUUGUUAGAAUAUUAUUUGUUUUGUUCAAUUGUUUUAUUCUCUUUGUAUAGUAUAAUGGAUCCUUUGUAACGGGUGUGUGUAUAUACACACACACGCAACCCUAAUUAAGGGGUUUCCACAUUAAUUAGCAUGGUAUUAAGCCUCCUUGCGUAUGCCUCAUAGCAAACUCACGGGGAUCAAUUUUUUCAUCGAUCGAUGUUUCUUCCACUCGAUUUUGUCAUCGCCUGUAGUCGAGUUCCAAAAUAGUAUUUUUCUUCUUUUUUUUACUGUGUUUGGCUACCUAUUAUGUCUCUGUGCCUGAUAUCCCGAUCUUUUAUUUACUAGGUCUCGCCCUCAAGACGUCGUUGAUCACUUGUUGUUCAAGAUCUCAUCACUUCCCUACAUUAGAAGUUCUACAGAUCAUUUGGUUCCUUCUGCCCAAGGUUUUCAAGGCGCAAAUGGUCAAUUUCAAGCACUUUAUGAAGCUCUAACUGCUUUUUCUCCACAUUGUGAGAUAUUGUAUGUAUACCCGCAUGCUAAACUUGUAAGCCUUCUAGAUCAGUUUAAGGAUUGAAAUAAAAAUGCCAUAAAGCUACGUGCUUACACUAAAUAUAAAAAAAUAUUAAAUGAAAUAUAUCACAAAAAUUAGAAAACAAAAAAUUGAUAGACUUAUAUAAACUGUUCGCUAUUAAUGUAAUCUGGAUUACUGAUAUUGGCUACUGGCAAGGACAAUUUAUUGGAUUACAAUAUAGAUGAUGUUAGAGAUUGAACUUUCAUUUGGAAGCAGGCUAUUUUUUAUCUU